CGGCACCAGCUCAAAUUUGAAAUCUGGCCUCUCGGGGUCCGAGUUGUAAUUUGUAGAGGAUGUUUUGGGUACCGCCCCGGUCUAAAUUUCUUGGAACAGAAUGUCAGAGAGGGUGAGAAUCCCGUCUUGGACCGGCGGUAGGGCCUGUGUAAAACUCCUUCGACGAGUCGAGUUGUUUGGGAAUGCAGCUCAAAAUGGGUGGUAAAUUUCAUCUAAAGCUAAAUAUUGGCCAGAGACCGAUAGCGCACAAGUAGAGUGAUCGAAAGAUGAAAAGCACUUUGAAAAGAGAGUUAAACAGUAUGUGAAAUUGUUGAAAGGGAAGCGCUUGCAACCAGACUUGAGCGCGGCGGUUCCCCUGGCCUUUUUGGCCAGGCUACUCCGUCGUGUCCAGGCCAACAUCGGUUCUGAGGGUCGGUCAAAGGCUCUGGGAAUGUAUCUACCCAC
This 444-nucleotide ribosomal RNA is filed under the name Cladophialophora cabanerensis. RNAcentral's name for it is "Cladophialophora sp. JGMV-2020a partial large subunit ribosomal RNA". It matches the Rfam family "Eukaryotic large subunit ribosomal RNA", at positions 99 to 547 of the family's 3401-position model. Lineage: Eukaryota; Fungi; Ascomycota; Eurotiomycetes; Chaetothyriales; Herpotrichiellaceae. The record is from RNAcentral.